GGCAAGAGCCAGCCAUCAUAACCACCCAAUAUCCAAGUUUUCCUGUGCAGGUGUUAACCUGUUGUCAGCAACAAUCUCAGGAUCAUCGCUUGGACAAAAAGCAUCCCAUUGGAAAAACUAUACUGAUAUGUCGACCGAGUUUGAAUGUCCUUGUGUACGCCCAUGUGAAUGUGGGUGUAUUCAUGAGGACACCCUUUUACCCUUGUAUCCCGUCUGGUGUAAUUGAACUCUUCAGCAGAUGGAUGGAACAACUCUAGAUGCCUGGCCGUUUUUCCCAUGCAUAAAGAGAUUUCCAAUCCAAUAUUUGUUUCGGUCCGGAACAAUCUGGCCAGUUCAUCGUCGAACGCGGUAGUACAGACUCUCGUCUGACUUUUUCUCAUUCCCCUGGACUCGAGGAGAAAACGCUUCGAGCUGCGUGACGGAUGCAUUGAUGUAUUCACCGUUUAUUAUUGAUUCGAUCGGGAACAACGCAUCGUCAUCAUCAUCUCUCCUGAUAAUAUUCCCAAACAACUAUACAAGGCCAUGGCGAUAAGAUAAGAGGGAAAAUCCAUUGGUCGUCCGGAAUCAUGAGCACUGACAGCAUCGGUUAAUAAUCGUGUGGUUCCACCACAUUUCUGCGGCUGUAUACCAGUCGAUCCGGAUUCCGGAUGGACCGGCCCAUCUGUUCACCAUUUCAAGGAUUUCCUAUAAGAGAAAGAAAAAUCUUUUUCCCAUAAUAUUUCAGAGAAGAAAAACUCUCAGCAAAGCACCGCGAGUUAUUUAUUAUCCUUUUUGACUGAUGAUAUGAAAUAAGAAGAAAAAAAACAAAAACGUAAUGAGUUUUCAUAUCGUUUAGAACCGGCGGGAUCAACAACUCGGCGUGAACUUUACUCCGACAGACCAAGAAAAAACGAAAUUCUAUUUUCUCCUGCCGGAAUGAAACCGAACACCGGCAACGCCAAAAAAGCAGCCUCUCCCGCAGCGCGCGUUCAACAAACACCGGGACCAUUACCUGGCGACCUCUAUACGUCACCGAUUACUCACCAGCUCCUAUUGGGGCGAAAUGACAACCGAUAGUUUGUGCGAACGUGUCACCGCGUGUCUCGUCGACUUUGGCCGAAACGUUGGAGGGGGAAAAAGAGAAAACGAACGACAGAAAAUCUGUGUCUCGGCAAACGAAUGAGACACGGAUGACGAGACACCAGCGCCCCGUCACCGUGGAUUGUUCUAAACUAUAUACAUAGGCAUGAAAGUCAUUCUCAAAGAUUCAUCCGUCCGGAACGAAAGAAGCAACAACAGCAACAACACGAUAGUCUAACAGCUCGUAGUAUACGUGUGUUAUACUACCACUAGCGGAGAGAGUUGUUUUUUUCGUGAUGAUUGAAAUUGUCGUGAUCAAGUUUCGGUUCAUUCGUCUGACUGACGGAAGAAAAUUGGUGGAAGAAGUUAAAAAAAAAACCAAAGCGAAAAGGAAAAAUAAAGGAAAUCCCGCACGCCAACAUUCAAUAAUCCUCCCAUCUUUUCGCUCUCGGUGGAUUAGCGAAAGGAAUAUCAAAUAAGAAGAGAGAGAAAAAAGAAAGGAAUAUUUUUGUUUUGUUUUUCAAGUGUUAUGUUUUUUGGUCGUCGUCAUCAUCAUCAAACGGUCACGAUUUCGCCCGAACUCCCAACGGAAGCGACUGUAAACUUGGAACGAAAGUUGUAUAUCUACCUGGGCUCUAACCAAACAACAGCCGAGAUAUUUAUAUCUACAUGGGUACAGUAGCACCGGGAUUCUUGUGUCUCUUGUGCAAUCGUUUUUAAUAGUAUGACAUUGCCCAAGAGAAGUUGAGGAGGAUGUAAUUUUUUUUUUUUUACAUUCGACAAUGAAUAUUUCAGGUGAAAAGUUGGAAAUGGUCAAAACACACGAGCUCCGGUUAUGUGGACGUACAGAUAGUGUUAGCUCUGCCAAUAGAAAGGGAGAGAGUUUCAAAUCAACUCUUUAAAAAGAGAC
This 1969-nucleotide long non-coding RNA is filed under the name Daphnia pulex (common water flea). Its description in RNAcentral is "uncharacterized LOC124209627". Lineage: Eukaryota; Metazoa; Arthropoda; Branchiopoda; Diplostraca; Daphniidae. The record is from RNAcentral.